Molecule: ribosomal RNA, 442 nt
Filed under: uncultured bacterium
Lineage: Bacteria
Description: partial 16S ribosomal RNA
Rfam family: Bacterial small subunit ribosomal RNA
Source: RNAcentral
CCUACGGGUGGCAGCAGUGGGGAAUAUUGGGCGAUGGGCGCAAGCCUGACCCAGCAACGCCGCGUGAAGGAAGAAGGCUUUCGGGUUGUAAACUUCUUUUAAGAGGGAAGAGCAGAAGACGGUACCUCUUGAAUAAGCCACGGCUAACUACGUGCCAGCAGCCGCGGUAAUACGUAGGUGGCAAGCGUUGUCCGGAUUUACUGGGUGUAAAGGGCGUGUAGCCGGGCUGACAAGUCAGAUGUGAAAUUCCGGGGCUCAACCCCGGACCUGCAUUUGAAACUGUUGGUCUUGAGUAUCGGAGAGGCAGGCGGAAUUCCUAGUGUAGCGGUGAAAUGCGUAGAUAUAUGGAAGAACACCAGUGGCGAAGGCGGCUGUCUGGUCUGCAACUGACGCUGAGGCUCGAAAGCAUGGGUAGCGAACAGGAUUAGAUACCCCUGUAGUC